CAGCCGCCACGGGAAUACGAAGGGUGCAAGCGUUAAUCGGAAUUACUGGGCGUAAAGCGUGCGUAGGUGGUGGUUUAAGUCCGUUGUGGAAGCCCUGGGCUCAACCUGGGAAUUGCAGUGGAUACUGGGUCACUAGAGUGUGGUAGAGGAUAGUGGAAUUUCCGGUGUAGCAGUGAAAUGCGUAGAGAUCGGAAGGAACAUCUGUGGCGAAGGCGACUAUCUGGGCCAACACUGACACUGAGGCACGAAAGCGUGGGGAGCAAACAGGAUUAGAUACCCGAGAAGUCCCCUGUCUCUUAUA
RNAcentral lists this ribosomal RNA (301 nucleotides) under uncultured bacterium. Its description in RNAcentral is "partial 16S ribosomal RNA". It matches the Rfam family "Bacterial small subunit ribosomal RNA", at positions 509 to 808 of the family's 1533-position model. The record is from RNAcentral.